GACGAACGCUGGCGGCGUGCUUAACACAUGCAAGUCGAACGGUAAGGCCCUUCGGGGUACACGAGUGGCGAACGGGUGAGUAACACGUGUGUGAUCUGCCCUGCACUUCGGGAUAAGCCUGGGAAACUGGGUCUAAUACCGGAUAGGACCACUGCCUGCAUGGGUGGUGGUGGAAAGCUUUUGUGGUGUGGGAUGGGCCCGCGGCCUAUCAGCUUGUUGGUGGGGUGAUGGCCUACCAAGGCGACGACGGGUAGCCGGCCUGAGAGGGUGACCGGCCACACUGGGACUGAGAUACGGCCCAGACUCCUACGGGAGGCAGCAGUGGGGAAUAUUGCACAAUGGGCGCAAGCCUGAUGCAGCGACGCCGCGUGAGGGAUGACGGCCUUCGGGUUGUAAACCUCUUUCAGCACCGACGAAGCGCAAGUGACGGUAGGUGCAGAAGAAGGACCGGCCAACUACGUGCCAGCCGCCGCAGUAA
Molecule: ribosomal RNA, 478 nt
Filed under: uncultured bacterium
Lineage: Bacteria
Description: partial 16S ribosomal RNA
Rfam family: Bacterial small subunit ribosomal RNA
Source: RNAcentral